This 214-nucleotide unclassified non-coding RNA is filed under the name Hevea brasiliensis (rubber tree). Lineage: Eukaryota; Viridiplantae; Streptophyta; Magnoliopsida; Malpighiales; Euphorbiaceae. The record is from RNAcentral.
GGAUGACAUCAACACAAUUGGAUGCAUUUCAUAGGGAGUUUCUUCUACCAUCUAAACUAUUGCUUUGCUUGUUAAAGCAUCAAGGAAUCUUCUACAUCACUAAUAAAGGUGCGAGGAGUACAGUAUUUCUAAAAGAAGCCUAUGAAGGGUCAACUUUGAUUGAUAAGUGUCCCUUGCUGUUGCACUCUGAUAGAUUCCUUUCACUAUGUGGUAG